ACUGCCCCAGAGGUGUUACAGACGUGGCUGCUGUGUUGCAUUUGUGUCAUCGGGUGGCAGAGAGAAGAGAGGCUGUGUCUACACUCAGGGUUCUGACCCGUGAAUGUUUGAAUGAUUAAUAGUUUGACACU
This 131-nucleotide small nucleolar RNA is filed under the name Microcebus murinus (gray mouse lemur). Its description in RNAcentral is "Small nucleolar RNA SNORA17 (ENSMICG00000020430.3)". It matches the Rfam family "Small nucleolar RNA SNORA17". Rfam says of the family: snoRNA ACA 17 belongs to the H/ACA family of snoRNAs and is predicted to guide pseudouridylation of the 28S rRNA at positions U4659 and U4598. It shares the same host gene together with ACA43. The record is from Rfam by way of RNAcentral. Lineage: Eukaryota; Metazoa; Chordata; Mammalia; Primates; Cheirogaleidae.